Molecule: ribosomal RNA, 257 nt
Filed under: uncultured bacterium
Lineage: Bacteria
Description: partial 16S ribosomal RNA
Rfam family: Bacterial small subunit ribosomal RNA
Source: RNAcentral
UACGUAGGGUGCGAGCGUUGUCCGGAAUUACUGGGCGUAAAGAGCUCGUAGGUGGUUUGUCGCGUUGUUCGUGAAAACUCACAGCUUAACUGUGGGCGUGCGGGCGAUACGGGCAGACUGGAGUACUGCAGGGGGAGACUGGAAUUCCUGGUGUAGCGGUGGAAUGCGCAGAUAUCAGGAGGAACACCGGUGGCGAAGGCGGGUCUCUGGGCAGUUUAGCUGACACUGAGGCGCGACAGCGUGGGGGAGCAAACAGG